Molecule: ribosomal RNA, 466 nt
Filed under: uncultured bacterium
Lineage: Bacteria
Description: partial 16S ribosomal RNA
Rfam family: Bacterial small subunit ribosomal RNA
Source: RNAcentral
GAUGAACGCUGGCGGCGUGCUUAACACAUGCAAGUCGAACGGAAAGGCCCAAGCUUGCUUGGGUACUCGAGUGGCGAACGGGUGAGUAACACGUGGGUGAUCUGCCCUGCACUUCGGGAUAAGCCUGGGAAACUGGGUCUAAUACCGGAUAGGACCACAUUUUGGAUGGUGUGGUGGAAAGGUUUUCGGUGUGGGAUGAGCUCGCGGCCUAUCAGCUUGUUGGUGGGGUAAUGGCCUACCAAGGCGUCGACGGGUAGCCGGCCUGAGAGGGUGUACGGCCACAUUGGGACUGAGAUACGGCCCAGACUCCUACGGGAGGCAGCAGUGGGGAAUAUUGCACAAUGGGCGCAAGCCUGAUGCAGCGACGCCGCGUGGGGGAUGACGGCCUUCGGGUUGUAAACUCCUUUCGCUAGGGACGAAGCGUUAUGUGACGGUACCUGGAGAAGAAGCACCGGCUAACUACGUG